The sequence is a non-coding RNA, 90 nucleotides long. It matches the Rfam family "RNA anti-toxin A". The record is from Rfam.
AAAUGAAAUCACAAAAAGGAAGUCCUGAUUCAACAGGACUUCCUAUUGUGGAACCGUUUAAGACGGCAGCGCAUUUUUAGUUAUUAAAUA